CCUACGGGGGGCAGCAGUGGGGAAUCUUCCGCAAUGGGCGAAAGCCUGACGGAGCAACGCCGCGUGAGUGAUGACGGCCUUCGGGUUGUAAAACUCUGUGAUCCGGGACGAAAGGGCAGAGUGCGAAGAACAAACUGCAUUGACGGUACCGGAAAAGCAAGCCACGGCUAACUACGUGCCAGCAGCCGCGGUAAUACGUAGGUGGCAAGCGUUGUCCGGAAUUAUUGGGCGUAAAGCGCGCGCAGGCGGCUUCCCAAGUCCCUCUUAAAAGUGCGGGGCUUAACCCCGUGAUGGGAAGGAAACUGGGAAGCUGGAGUAUCGGAGAGGAAAGUGGAAUUCCUAGUGUAGCGGUGAAAUGCGUAGAGAUUAGGAAGAACACCGGUGGCGAAGGCGACUUUCUGGACGAAAACUGACGCUGAGGCGCGAAAGCGUGGGGAGCAAACAGGAUUAGAUACCCCGGUAGUC
RNAcentral lists this ribosomal RNA (465 nucleotides) under uncultured Dialister sp. Its description in RNAcentral is "bacterial SSU rRNA". It matches the Rfam family "Bacterial small subunit ribosomal RNA", at positions 338 to 795 of the family's 1533-position model. Lineage: Bacteria; Bacillati; Bacillota; Negativicutes; Veillonellales; Veillonellaceae. The record is from RNAcentral.